CUGGCAUUGUUGAGGAAGGGAGAAAGGAUUCUGUCCCCACAGAGUUCUGAGGGUUUCUGCCAUCCUGGAUGUCCAAGGGAGUGUGGCAUCAUAGAAGAGGAAAAGAGUCUGGUAUCAGAGAAGUAGUAGCAAUUUUGGAAUCACUGAGGAAGGAAGGAGUCUCAUCACAGAACUGUCUGAUGCUCCACGGCUGCUGGGAAUCUUGUGUGACGAUAUUUUGUAACACAACAUUGGGAAAACACUGACCGUCAUUGCAGCUGCAGGUGGCCCCAAGGAGGCAUCAGACUGUGACCAAGGGCCCUUAUGGGAAGCCUUCAAGAAAUUUUCUCACUGGCGUUUGACCCUUUUUUGUCUUCAAACUUCAGUGACUUUCAAGAGGCAUCUCCUACCCUGUAACAAGAAUUGAUGGACAGCACCAGGUCUGGGCAGCACAGUGGGGAUGCGAAGAGUGGAGAGCUGUCGGGAAGAGUGGGUUGGCAGAGACAGCAUCAGCCACCUGCAGACACAAACCGGUUUUCUGAAAAUAGCAGGGCAUUUGAAUUGAGGCUCCUCUUUAAUGUGAAUUUAUACUUCCAGACAAAACCAGUAUGGGAUGACAUUUCUCAACCAUUCCAUUGAUUACUCAGCUUGGCACAGAUGUUGUUUGGUGUCUGCUGGGGGAAACUUCCAUCCCCUAUGCUGAAUGUUUUCCUCCUGUUUCCUGUUUGGUGACUGGUUGAUAGACAUGGAUGGGUGGGUGAAUUCUCUGCACCUGGGCACAGGGAUUGAGUGGCAUGGAAAGAUGGGAUCUGGUAGGAUUUCACUUCUUGAAAGAUGAGUCCUGGUUGGUGGCCGCUCAGUGAUGUUUAAAAGCUGUUUAUUGAGACUACAUAAAGAGCCAAUGUUACAUAUGCAAUAUCUAAUAUAUGUAGACUAUUGCUCUCUUUUUCUGCAUAAGCUCUGUGAACAUCCUGAGUGAAAACACAACCAGUUCCUUGAUGGUGAAGUGUCAGGCAGUGGGAUUGUAUCAUCCCCAGCUGGCAGGGGGAUCAGCAGAGUGAUGUUGUAUAAAAAGGAAUCAGUUAGCCAUCCUUUGUUAUCCCAGGUACAAAGCUGGGCAGUGGUAAACUACGUUCUGAAGAAUCUCACACGCUCUAAAGAACACCCCUGGGCAGUGUGUGCUGGGCUGGGGGACCACAGGAGCACCUGUCCUUGGGAGAUGGAGGCUUCUCCCUGGGUGGGGUUUGGUCUGUGAGGGUCAGGCCAGUCUGUUGGGCUGGCUCUGGUCCUGUCGUGUGCCCUGGGGGUAGAUGAGGUGACCCACCAAGGUUUCUGCCAGCACUGUGCCUCUGGAACUGCCUGCAUUUACACUUCAACUUGUCUGCUGCAUGAGAAGUAUUUCAG
This is a long non-coding RNA of Passer domesticus (house sparrow), 1383 nucleotides long. RefSeq lists it as uncharacterized. The record is from RefSeq and is a predicted model, not a curated record. The transcript is spliced from 3 exons. NCBI's taxonomy places the organism in Eukaryota, Metazoa, Chordata, Aves, Passeriformes, Passeridae.